CUAGCUCUCCUCUGCUUUUUUCUGCAGGUGGCACUUUUGCUUGUGUCUUGUUAUCUUUUCGAAAUGGUGAAGCUGACAAUGAUAGCCUGUAUCACUGAUGGCCUUUCAUUUGCGGAGUGCUUAGAUGGUGGUUAUGUUAAGGAUGUUGUCUUCUACAAGCAGCAAGCAAAAUUAGUCACCUUGCCUCUCUUGCACUUAACAUUGUCUAAUUAGACUUUUCAAAAUGAUUAUCCAGGACUGCUUGGCCUCUCGUUUCGAUUAGCCUAUCAUUAAAGUUGGAAACACCAGAAUUGACGCUUGCGUAUGAGUAGAGAGGUCCAGGACGAUCUGAGACACAUGGGUUUCCUGUUCUCAACUUCUCAUGUUUGAUUUUAAUUCUUUUGCUUUUUGGUUAACCAGAGCUCAGAAUCAAGAUUAAGAAAGUAGUUGAGCACAAAGCAAACAAGGUGAUGUUUGCCCAUAGAUGCCUGAUGAUGAUCAUUUCCUGAAGAGUACAAUGCUGGGUGGAUAUUCUUCUACCUU
Molecule: long non-coding RNA, 522 nt
Organism: Triticum dicoccoides
Lineage: Eukaryota; Viridiplantae; Streptophyta; Magnoliopsida; Poales; Poaceae
Exons: 4
Source: RefSeq, a predicted model, not a curated record